AGGAGGAGUUUCAGAUCUGAGACGCUCUCAGGAAACUCAAGAUGGAGGGAGGAAAGAUAUGAAAACAAACAACCCUAGAAGAAGACCCUCUUCUUCUUCUCGUUUCUCUCUCUAGACACCCUAACUUGUGUCUUUUAUAUCUCCAUGACCCAAAGGUCUUUCUCUCUAAUUUUUGGGUGGCUCAAAGGUCUCUCAAAUCU
Molecule: long non-coding RNA, 200 nt
Filed under: Elaeis guineensis (African oil palm)
Lineage: Eukaryota; Viridiplantae; Streptophyta; Magnoliopsida; Arecales; Arecaceae
Description: long non-coding RNA (EGUI_LNC049306)
Source: RNAcentral